AUGCUCGCCUUGGCAGCACUACUAAAACUGGAACAAUACAAAGAAGAUCAGCAUGGCCCUUGCACAAGGAUGACAUGAAAAUUUGUGAAGUGUUCCAUAUUUUU
Perognathus longimembris pacificus (Pacific pocket mouse) is the source of this 104-nucleotide small nuclear RNA. The record is from RefSeq and is a predicted model, not a curated record. NCBI's taxonomy places the organism in Eukaryota, Metazoa, Chordata, Mammalia, Rodentia, Heteromyidae.